Regulatory RNA element from Carnobacterium maltaromaticum LMA28, 59 nucleotides. It matches the Rfam family "Ribosomal protein L13 leader". Rfam says of the family: This family is a putative r-protein leader autoregulatory structure found in B. subtilis and other low-GC Gram-positive bacteria. It is located in the 5' untranslated regions of mRNAs encoding the L13-S9 (rplM-rpsI) ribosomal protein operon. NCBI's taxonomy places the organism in Bacteria, Bacillati, Bacillota, Bacilli, Lactobacillales, Carnobacteriaceae. The record is from Rfam.
GGUAUUGUUUGCCCCACGAUGAGCCCCGGAAACUUAUUGUGCAUUCAAACAAACAGAUA